Molecule: non-coding RNA, 997 nt
Organism: Pocillopora verrucosa
Lineage: Eukaryota; Metazoa; Cnidaria; Anthozoa; Scleractinia; Pocilloporidae
Source: RefSeq, a predicted model, not a curated record
UCGCAAUGUUGAAACUUUUAUGCUUUUCGUUGGACAUCCAAGAAGCGGUCACAGUUUGGUUGCUGCCAUUUUAGAUUCUCAUCCAGAAAUAGUUAUUUCGGAUGAGUUUAAUCUGCUUUAUAAGUUUGACAGUUUCUUUAUGGAUCCUAGCCAAACAAACGAUGAGCGCAAGCUGAGGAUAUUCUAUGACAUACAUACUCGUUCGCGCAGACAGGCCAUGUUUGGUAGUCGUUCGUCAAUUUGCAACAGCUCCGUAUCCUACUGCUACAACAUCAAAGGGGGCUGACAAGGUGAUUGCAAAAGUAAACUUAAGGUAAUUGGAGACAAAAAAGCAUCUGUAACUACUGCACGUUUGCAUCACGAAAAAGGGCUUCACGAUUUGCGAAAACUGGAGGAAGCGCUGGGGAAUUCCAAUCAAACUGAUUAACGUCAUCAGAAAUCCAUUUGAUAACAUUGCUACUAUAUGUAGAAGGAGACUAGGUGUGAAUCCUAGAAGUCAUCAAAUGGUACGCAACACAACAGCGUUGGACUUUUGCAUUGAUUUUUACUUCACUAAAGUGCGGACAGUUCAAUAUCUACGUGAUCUGAGGCACUACCAGAUCCUGAAUGUAUGCAGCCGAGAUUUGCUGACAAAUCCACGACGAACUUUACAAAAUGUUAUGUGACUUUGUUGGUGUUUCUUGUCACAGUGAAUUUGUCGAAUUAGCAACAAGAGAUCUCUAUUCCAAAUCAUCUCGGUCUAGGUAUUUGAUAGAAUGGAGUAACGAACAGAAAGAAAGUCAUGGAAGAAAUCCAGAAAUAUAGCUUUUUGAAAUCUUUAUUUUCGUUUGACAGUGAUUAGUGUCACCAUUAGACUUUGACGCUUAUUCAUCAACUUUAUCAUGUUAAUUUAAAACUUUCCUUGUAAUUGCAUACAUGUUUCUGUUACUGUUGUUUGUUUUGUCCAAUCAGCAUUUUGUUCUACAGUUUAAAUUCAACUUUGUACUUUGUAAAAUCA